AGAGUUUGAUCAUGGCUCAGAGCGAACGCUGGCGGCGUGCCUAACACAUGCAAGUCGAACGUGAACAGGGGCAACCCUUAGUAAAGUGGCGUACGGGUGAGUAACACGUAGGUAAUCUACCAAAGAGUCCGGAAUAACCUGCCGAAAGGCGGGCUAAUACUGGAUAGAGCGACGGAAUCCGUAAUUGGGUUUUUCGGGAAAGGGAGGAAGCAAUUCCCUUCGCUCUUUGAUGAGCCUGCGUCUGAUUAGCUAGUUGGUGAGGUAAUGGCUCACCAAGGCGAUGAUCGGUAGCUGGUCUGAGAGGAUGAUCAGCCACACUGGAACUGAAACACGGUCCAGACUCCUACGGGAGGCAGCAGUGGGGAAUCUUGCGCAAUGGACGAAAGUCUGACGCAGCCACGCCGCGUGAGUGAAGAAGGCCUUCGGGUUGUAAAGCUCUGUCGGGCGGGACGAAAACGUUUGAGGUGAAUAGCCUCAGAUCUUGACGGUACCGCCAAAGGAAGCACCGGCUAACUUCGUGCCAGCAGCCGCGGUAAUACGAGGGGUGCAAGCGUUGCUCGGAAUUAUUGGGCGUAAAGGGUAGGUAGGUGGUCUCGUUUGUCUGGGGUGAAAGCCUUGAGCUUAACUCAAGAAGUGCCCUAGAAACGGCGAGACUGGAGUCUUGGAGAGGGUCGCGGAAUUCCCGGUGUAGCGGUGAAAUGCGUAGAGAUCGGGAGGAACACCAGAGGCGAAGGCGGCGACCUGGACAAGUACUGACACUCAACUACGAAAGCGUGGGGAGCAAACAGGAUUAGAUACCCUGGUAGUCCACGCCGUAAACGAUGGGUACUAGAUUUGGUGGGUCUUGACCCCCGCCGAAUCGGAGCUAACGCACUAAGUACCCCGCCUGGGAAGUACGGUCGCAAGACUAAAACUCAAAGGAAUUGACGGGGGCGCC
Molecule: ribosomal RNA, 937 nt
Filed under: uncultured bacterium
Lineage: Bacteria
Description: bacterial SSU rRNA
Rfam family: Bacterial small subunit ribosomal RNA
Source: RNAcentral